Long non-coding RNA from Juglans regia (Persian walnut), 588 nucleotides. RefSeq lists it as uncharacterized. The record is from RefSeq and is a predicted model, not a curated record. Lineage: Eukaryota; Viridiplantae; Streptophyta; Magnoliopsida; Fagales; Juglandaceae. The transcript has 2 exons.
AGUAUCCAGAGAUCGAGUACACAGUGCCAGAGUCGAAAGAAAAUCGAGAUCGAAUUACGACGACGGAGCGGGCAAUAGCAAAUUGGCAAUGGCGUUGAUGAGGGGAGAGCCGCUGGUGACGAAGCUGGCAGUCUUGGCAAAGUACGUUGUUCUUCCUGGGGCCAUGGCCGUUGCUCUCAUCUACUCUCCUCCCCAUUACGGUUCCUCCGACAAGUCCAAUAAAUCCAACAAAUAGAAGGCCCCCACAACCUCUCUUUCUAUUUCACUACAAGUUGGGGCCAUCUUGAUCACUUGGGCAUGCAUGUUUGCAAAAAUUCACUAUUUUUAUGAAACGGGGGUAUGUAAUAAAUUAAUAAUUUUCGUGAUCAAUUUUUGAAUUUUUCUGUGGUUAUUCAGAGAGAUAAAAUGUGUGUGGCUCGUUUGGAAGAACUUGAGUAGUAACUUUCUUCUUUCUUUGACUUUGCCCUUGACUAAACUUUAUCCAAUCAGUGCAAGAUUGCCGCCAUCUUAAAAUUGUGGGUUGUACGAAUACUUAUAUAGAAUAGCUUUAAUUGCUUAUGUUGAUAGAUGAACAUAAGUUGCUGUGAA